AUAGCUGGGGGAGCUGACGCUGAGAGUGCGGUUCUGAAAAGCCGCAGACCCUUAAUUACCUGAUCCGGAUAAUGCCGGCGCAGGGAAGCG
Molecule: non-coding RNA, 90 nt
Filed under: uncultured Lachnoclostridium sp.
Lineage: Bacteria; Bacillati; Bacillota; Clostridia; Lachnospirales; Lachnospiraceae
Source: RNAcentral